Molecule: long non-coding RNA, 3962 nt
Filed under: Gallus gallus (chicken)
Lineage: Eukaryota; Metazoa; Chordata; Aves; Galliformes; Phasianidae
Description: lncRNA (ENSGALG00010003523.1)
Source: RNAcentral
CUGCAGGGCAGUCCGUCGCGGAUGCGGCCGAUGAUCCCCGCGGAGGGAUCGACGCGGCAGUACAGAGCGCCGCCCGUGGCCGCCACCGCCACCAUCCAACUGGACGGGGAGAUCGGGUACAGCCCGCACAGCACGCGGUUCUGCAACGCAAUGCAAUGCAAUGCAAUGCAAUGCAAUGCAACCCCGGGUACAGCCCGCACAGCACGCGGUUCUGCAACGGAAUGCAAUGCAAUGCAACCCCGGCCCGCACAGCACGCGGUUCUGCGGGGGGGGGACACAAUGCACCCCCAUACGGACACACGGGGACACAAUGCAAUGCAAUGCAAUGCAAUGCAACCCCGGGUACAGCCCGCACAGCACGCGGUUCUGCAAUGCAAUGCAAUGCAAUGCAAUGCAACCCCGGAUACAGCCCGCACAGCACGCGGUUCUGCAACGCAAUGCAAUGCAAUGCAAUGCAAUGCAACCCCGGGUACAGCCCGCACAGCACGCGGUUCUGCAAUGCAAUGCAAGGCAAUGCAAUGCAACCCCGGGUACAGCCCGCACAGCACGCGGUUCUGCAAUGCAAUGCAAUGCAAUGCAAUGCAAUGCAACCCCGGGUACAGCCCGCACAGCACGCGGUUCUACAACGCAAUACAACGCAAUGCAAUGCAAUGCAGUGCAAUGCAACCCCGGGUACAGCCCGCACAGCACGCGGUUCUGCAACGCAAUGCAAUGCAAUGCAAUGCAACCCCGGGUACAGCCCGCACAGCACGCGGUUCUGCAAUGCAAUGCAAUGCAAUGCAAUGCAACCCCGCACAGCACGCGGUUCUGCGGGGGGGGGGGGGGGACAUAAUGCACACCCAUAGAGACACACGGGGACACAAUGCAAUGCAAUGCAAUGCACCCCCAUACGGACAUGUGGGGACACAAUGCAAUGCAAUGCAAUGCACCCCCAUACGGACAUGUGGGGACACAAUGCAAUGCAAUGCAACCCCGCACAGCACGCGGUUCUGGGGGGGGGGGGGGGGGACACACAAUGCAAUGCAAUGCAAUGCAAUGCAAUGCAAUGCAACGCAAUGCAACCCCGCACAGCACGCGGUUCUGCGGGGGGGGGACAUAAUGCACCCCCAUACAGACACACGGGGGGACAUAGAGCUCCAUAGGGACACACAGAGGGACAGAGAGGGACAUAGGGGGACAUAGAGGUCCAUAGGGGGACAUGGAGGUCCAUAGGGACACAUAGGGGGACAUAGAGCUCCAUAGGGGGACAUAGAGGGACAGAGAGGGACAUAGAGGGACAUAGGGGGACAUAGAGGGACAUAGGGGGACAUAGGGGUCCAUACAGACACACAUGGGGACAGAGAGGUCCAUAGGGGGACAUAGGGGGACAUAGAGCUCCAUAGGGGGACAUAGAGGGACAUAGGGACACACAGAGGGACAGAGAGGGCCAUAGGGACACAGAGGGGGACACAGCAACCCGUUGGGACAUACAUGGGGACAUAGAGGUCCAUAGGGGGACAUAGGGGGACAUAGGGACACACGGGACACAAUGCACACCCAUAUGGGGCACAAUGCACACCCAUAGGGACACACGGGGCACAAUGCACACCCAUACACACCCAUAGGGACACACAGACAGAGCAGCCCAUAGGGACAUACAUGAGGACAUAGAGCUCCUUAGGGACACAUACGGGGACAGAGAGGGACAUAGGGGGACAUAGGGACACAUAGGGGGACAUGGAGGUCCACAGGGGGACAUAGGGACACAUAGGGGGACACAGAGGUCCAUAGGGGGACAUAGGGGGACAUAGAGACACACAUGGGGGGACAGAGUGACCCAUUGGGACAUACACGGGGACAUAGAGGGACACAGAGGUCCAUAGGGACACACAGAGGGACAUAGAGGUCCAUAGGGGGACAUAGGGGGACACAUGGGGACAUAGAGCUCCAUAGGGACACAAAGGGGCACAUAGAGGUCCAUAGGGGGACAUAGGGGUCCAUAGGGACACACAGAGGGACAUAGAGGGACAUAGGGGGACAUAGGGGUCCAUAGGGACACACAGAGGGACAUAGGGGGACAUAGGGGGACAUAGAGCUCCAUAGGGACACACAGAGGGACAGAGAGGUCCAUAGCGACACAGAGGGGGACAUAGAGGGACAUAGGGGGACAUAGGGGGACAUAGGGGUCCAUAGGGACACACAGAGGGACAUAGGGGGACAUAGGGGGACAUAGAGCUCCAUAGGGACACACAGAGGGACAGAGAGGUCCAUAGCGACACAGAGGGGGACAUAGAGGGACAUAGGGGUCCAUACAGACACACAUGGGGACAGAGAGGUCCAUAGGGGGACAUAGGGGGACACAGAGGUCCAUAGGGACACAGAGGGACAUAGAGGGACACAUGGGGACAUAGGGGUCCAUAGGGACACAAAGGGGGACAGAGAGGUCCAUAGGGACGCAUGGGGACACAUGGAGAUCCACAGUGCCCCAUAGUGACACAUAGCGACACAUGGGACACAUGGGGUCACAUAGGGACACACGGGGACCCAUAGGGACCCAUAGGGAGCCAUAGGGAGCCAUAGGGACACAUAGGGACACAUAGGGACCCAUAGGGACCCAUAGGGAGCCAUAGGGACACACAGGGACCCAUAGGGACACAUAGGGACCCAUAGGGAGCCAUAGGGACACAUAGGGACCCAUAGGGACACAUAGGGACCCAUAGGGACCCAUAGAGAGCCAUAGGGACACAUAGGGACACGUAGGGAGCCAUAGGGACACGUAGGGAGCCAUAGGGACACAUAGGGACACAUAGGGACCCAUAGGGAGCCAUAGGGACACACAGGGACCCAUAGGGACACAUAGGGACCCAUAGGGAGCCAUAGGGACACAUAGGGACCCAUAGGGACACACAGGGACCCAUAGGGAGCCAUAGGGACACACAGGGACCCAUAGGGACACAUAGGGACCCAUAGGGACACACAGGGACCCAUAGGGAGCCAUAGGGACACACAGGGACCCAUAGGGACACAUAGGGACCCAUAGGGGCACAUAGCGACACACAGCACCCCAUAUAUCGCCACCUAUUGCCCCAUAUCCCCCAUAUAACGCCCCCUAUCGCCCCCUAUCCCCAUAUAUCGCCCCCAUCCCCAUAUAUCGCCCGCUAUGCCCAUAUAUCGCCCCUUUUGCCCCGUCUCCAUAUAUCACCCCCUAUGGCCCCCUAUCCCUAUAUACCGCCCCCUAUCCCCAUAUAUCGCCCCCUAUCGCCCCCUAUCCCCAUAUAUCGCCCCCUAUUACCCCCUAUCCCCAUAUAUUGCCCCCUAUCCCCCAUAUAUCGCCCCCUAUGGCCAUAUAUCGCCCCCUAUCCCUAUAUAUCGCCCCCUAUGGCCAUAUAUCGCCCCCUAUGGCCAUAUAUCGCCCCCUAUGGCCAUAUAUCACCCCCUAUCCCCAUAUACCGCCCCCUAUCCCACAUAUAUCACCCCCUAUGGCCCCCUAUCCCCAUAUAUUGCCCCCUAUGCCCCAUAUAUCGCCCCCUAUGGCCCCCUAUCCCUAUAUAUCGCCCCCUAUCCCCAUAUAUCGCCCCCUAUACCCCACAUAUCACCCCCUAUGGCCAUACACCGCCCCCUCUGGCCAUAUAUUGCCCCCUAUGGCCAUACAUCACCCCAUAUAUCGCCAUAUACCGCCCUCUAUUGCCAUAUAUCACCCCCUAUCCCCCAUAUAUCGCCCUCUAUCACCCCCUAUCCCCCAUAUAUUGCCCCCUAUGGCCCCAUAUCCCCAUAUAUCGCCCCCUCUUUCCAUAUAUCGCCCCCUAUCCCCCAUAUAUCACCCCCUAUCGCCCUCUAUCCCCCAUAUAUCACCCCCUAUGGCCAUAUAUCACCCCCUAUCCCCCAUAUAUCGCCCCCUAUGGCCAUAUAUCCCCCCUUUCGCCAUAUACCGCCCCCCUAUCGCCAUAUAUCGCCCCCUAUGGCCAUAUAUCCCCCCCUAUCCC